UACGUAGGGUGCAAGCGUUGUCCGGAAUUAUUGGGCGUAAAGAGCUCGUAGGCGGUUUGUCACGUCGGAUGUGAAACCCUGAGGCUCAACCUCAGGCCUGCAUUCGAUACGGGCAGACUAGAAUUCGGCAGGGGAGACUGGAAUUCCUGGUGUAGCGGUGAAAUGCGCAGAUAUCAGGAGGAACACCGAUGGCGAAGGCAGGUCUCUGGGCCAUAACUGACGCUGAGAAGCGAAAGCAUGGGGAGCGAACAGG
This 253-nucleotide ribosomal RNA is filed under the name uncultured bacterium. RNAcentral's name for it is "partial 16S ribosomal RNA". It matches the Rfam family "Bacterial small subunit ribosomal RNA", at positions 524 to 776 of the family's 1533-position model. The record is from RNAcentral.